GCUACCAGCUACACCACCCUGAACACGCCUGCUCUAUGUCUGAUCUCGGAAACUAAGCAGCGUCAGCCCCGGUUAGUACUUGGAUGGGAGACCACCUGGGAAUACUGAGUGCUAUAGGCU
This 120-nucleotide ribosomal RNA is filed under the name Propithecus coquereli (Coquerel's sifaka). Lineage: Eukaryota; Metazoa; Chordata; Mammalia; Primates; Indriidae. The record is from RNAcentral.